AUUGAACGCUGGCGGCAGGCUUUACACAUGCAAGUCGAGCGAGCGGCGGACGGGUGAGUAAUGUCUGGGAAACUGCCUGAUGGAGGGGGAUAACUACUGGAAACGGUAGCUAAUACCGCAUACCAUCAGAUGUGCCCAGAUUGGAUUAGCUAGUCGGUGGGGUAAUGGCUAACCUAGGCGACGAUCCCUAGCUGGUCUGAGAGGAUGACCAGCCACACUGGGACUGAGACACGGUCCAGACUCCUACGGGAGGCAGCAGUGGGGAAUAUUGCACAAUGGGGGAAAGCCUGAUGCAGCCAUGCCGCGUGUGUGAAGAAGGCCUUCGGGUUGUAAAGUACUUUCGGCGGAGAAGCGGUACUCGCAGAAGAAGCACCGGCUAACUCCGUGCCAGCAGCCGCGGUAAUAC
Molecule: ribosomal RNA, 406 nt
Filed under: uncultured bacterium
Lineage: Bacteria
Description: partial 16S ribosomal RNA
Rfam family: Bacterial small subunit ribosomal RNA
Source: RNAcentral